This 407-nucleotide ribosomal RNA is filed under the name uncultured bacterium. RNAcentral's name for it is "bacterial SSU rRNA". It matches the Rfam family "Bacterial small subunit ribosomal RNA", at positions 94 to 500 of the family's 1533-position model. The record is from RNAcentral.
AGCGGCGCACGGGUGCGUAACACGUGUGCAACCUACCUUUAUCUGGGGGAUAGCCUUUCGAAAGGAAGAUUAAUACCCCAUAAUAUAUUGAAUGGCAUCAUUUAAUAUUGAAAACUCCGGUGGAUAAAGAUGGGCACGCGCAAGAUUAGAUAGUUGGUGAGGUAACGGCUCACCAAGUCAAUGAUCUUUAGGGGUCCUGAGAGGGAGAUCCCCCACACUGGUACUGAGACACGGACCAGACUCCUACGGGAGGCAGCAGUGAGGAAUAUUGGACAAUGGGUGAAAGCCUGAUCCAGCCAUCCCGCGUGAAGGAUGACGGUCCUAUGGAUUGUAAACUUCUUUUGUAUAGGAAUAAACCUUUCUACGUGUAGAAAGCUGAAGGUACUAUACGAAUAAGCACCGGCUAA